RNAcentral lists this ribosomal RNA (451 nucleotides) under uncultured bacterium. RNAcentral describes it as "partial 16S ribosomal RNA". It matches the Rfam family "Bacterial small subunit ribosomal RNA", at positions 29 to 523 of the family's 1533-position model. The record is from RNAcentral.
AACGAACGCUGGCGGCAGGCUUAACACAUGCAAGUCGAACGGACGUAGCAAUACGUUAGUGGCAGACGGGUGAGUAACGCGUGGGAACAUACCCUUUGGUUCGGAAUAACUCAGGGAAACUUGAGCUAAUACCGGAUAAGUCCGAGAGGAGAAAGAUUUAUCGCCGAUAGAUGAGCCCGCGUCUGAUUAGCUAGUUGGUGAGGUAAUGGCUCACCAAGGCGACGAUCAGUAGCUGGUCUGAGAGGAUGACCAGCCACACUGGGACUGAGACACGGCCCAGACUCCUACGGGAGGCAGCAGUGGGGAAUAUUGGACAAUGGGCGCAAGCCUGAUCCAGCCAUGCCGCGUGAGUGACGAAGGUCUUCGGAUUGUAAAGCUCUUUUGGCGGGGACGAUAAUGACGGUACCCGCAGAAUAAGCCCCGGCUAACUUCGUGCCAGCAGCCGCCGUAA